Molecule: transfer RNA, 72 nt
Filed under: Camelus bactrianus (Bactrian camel)
Lineage: Eukaryota; Metazoa; Chordata; Mammalia; Artiodactyla; Camelidae
Also listed under: 2 other names
Rfam family: tRNA
About the family: Transfer RNA (tRNA) molecules are approximately 80 nucleotides in length. Their secondary structure includes four short double-helical elements and three loops (D, anti-codon, and T loops). Further hydrogen bonds mediate the characteristic L-shaped molecular structure. tRNAs have two regions of fundamental functional importance: the anti-codon, which is responsible for specific mRNA codon recognition, and the 3' end, to which the tRNAs corresponding amino acid is attached (by aminoacyl-tRNA synthetases). tRNAs cope with the degeneracy of the genetic code in two manners: having more than one tRNA (with a specific anti-codon) for a particular amino acid; and 'wobble' base-pairing, i.e. permitting non-standard base-pairing at the 3rd anti-codon position.
Source: Rfam by way of RNAcentral
GAGGGUAUAGCUCAGUGGUAGAGUGUGUGCUUAGCAUGCACAAGGUCUUGGGUUCAAUCCCCAGUACCUCCA